This 253-nucleotide ribosomal RNA is filed under the name uncultured bacterium. Its description in RNAcentral is "partial 16S ribosomal RNA". It matches the Rfam family "Bacterial small subunit ribosomal RNA", at positions 524 to 776 of the family's 1533-position model. The record is from RNAcentral.
UACGAGGGGGGCAAGCGUUGUUCGGAAUUAUUGGGCGUAAAGGGUGCGUAGGUGGUGAGGUAAGUCGGAUGUGAAAGCUCGGAGCUCAACUCCGAAAUGGCAUUGGAAACUACCUUGCUCGAGGGUUGGAGGGGGGACUGGAAUGCUUGGUGUAGCAGUGAAAUGCGUAGAUAUCAAGCGGAACACCAGUGGCGAAGGCGAGUCCCUGGACAACUCCUGACACUGAGGCACGAAAGCUAGGGGAGCAAACAGG